AUACGGAGGGUGCAAGCGUUACUCGGGAUCACUGGGCGUAAAGCGCGCGCAGGCGGCUAUUUAAGUUGGAUGUGAAAGCCUACGGCUCAACCGUAGAACUGCAUCCAAAACUAUUUAGCUAGAGUGUGGGAGAGGAAGAUGGAAUUAGUUGUGUAGGGGUAAAAUCCGUAGAGAUAACUAGGAAUACCAAAAGCGAAGGCAAUCUUCUGGAACACUACUGACGCUGAGGCGCGAAAGCGUGGGGAGCAAACGGGAUUAGAUACCCCAGUAGUCC
Molecule: ribosomal RNA, 274 nt
Filed under: uncultured bacterium
Lineage: Bacteria
Description: partial 16S ribosomal RNA
Rfam family: Bacterial small subunit ribosomal RNA
Source: RNAcentral